GUGUGUGUGUGUGUGUACCUCUCUGUGAUGGUGUGUGUGUGUGUGUGUGUGUGUGUGUGUACCUCUCUCUCCUAUCAGGCCCAUUGCCACUGACUGACAUGAAGGUGUGUGUGUGUGUGUGUACCUCUCUGUGAUAGUGUGUGUGUGUGUGUGUGUACCUCUCUGUGAUGGUGUGUGUGUGUGUGUGUGUACCUCUCUGUGAUGGUGUGUGUGUGUGUGUGUACCUCUCUCUCCUAUCAGGCCCAUUGCCACCUACUGACAUGAAGGUGUGUGUGUGUGUACCUCUCUGUGAUGGUGUGUGUGUGUGUGUGUGUGUGUGUGUGUGUGUACCUCUCUGUGAUGGUG
Clupea harengus (Atlantic herring) is the source of this 345-nucleotide long non-coding RNA. Lineage: Eukaryota; Metazoa; Chordata; Actinopteri; Clupeiformes; Clupeidae. The record is from Ensembl.